Molecule: long non-coding RNA, 222 nt
Filed under: Setaria viridis
Lineage: Eukaryota; Viridiplantae; Streptophyta; Magnoliopsida; Poales; Poaceae
Description: long non-coding RNA (SVIR_LNC009257)
Source: RNAcentral
GGUGGUUAGCAGGAAGAAAUCGAUGAUGACCCAUAUACACGACCUUCCUACAAUGUUUCGAAUACAUGUUGUCUGUGUCGUCUAAACAGUGGGUGUAGGCCCGAUAUCCCUUAUUUGUCUAUCCUGAAAGGUUACUCAGCACAGGCAAAUCAUUGAUGGUUAUGAAUAACAAUGCUCUUAUGUCAAAACUCUCUUGUUUAUCCUCAUCUCACACACGUACAC